GAUGAACGCUGGCGGCGUGCCUAAUACAUGCAAGUCGAGCGAACGGACGAGAAGCUUGCUUCUCUGUUGUUAGCGGCGGACGGGUGAGUAACACGUGGAUAACCUACCUAUCAGACUGGGAUAACCUCGGGAAACCGGAGCUAAUACCGGAUAAUAUUUUGAACCGCAUGGUUCAAAAGUGAAAGACGGUCUUGCUGUCACUUAUAGAUGGAUCCGCGCUGCAUUAGCUAGUUGGUAAGGUAACGGCUUACCAAGGCAACGAUGCAUAGCCGACGUGAGAGGCUGAUCGGCGACAUGGGAACUGGGACACGGUCCAGACUACUACGGGAGGCAGCAGUAGGGUACGGUCCGCAGUAGGCGAGAGCCUGGCAGAGCAACGCCGAGUGAGAGAUGAAGAUGUUCGGAGCGUAAAACUCUGUUACGAGUGAAGAACAGAUGUGUAAGUAACUGUGCACAUCGUGACGGUACCUAAUCAGAAAGCCACGGCUAACUACGUG
RNAcentral lists this ribosomal RNA (497 nucleotides) under uncultured bacterium. RNAcentral describes it as "partial 16S ribosomal RNA". It matches the Rfam family "Bacterial small subunit ribosomal RNA", at positions 28 to 507 of the family's 1533-position model. The record is from RNAcentral.